UACAGAGGGUGCGAGCGUCAAUCGGAAUUACUGGGCGUAAAGCGCACGUAGGCGGCUUGGUAUGUCGGGUGUGAAAUCCCCGGGCUCAACCUGGGAACUGCAUCCGAAACUGCCUUGCUCGAGUAUGGGAGAGGGAAGUGGAAUUUCCGGUGUAGCGGUGAAAUGCGUAGAUAUCGGAAGGAACAUCAGUGGCGAAGGCGACUUCCUGGACCAAUACUGACGCUCAGGUGCGAAAGCGUGGGGAGCAAACAGG
RNAcentral lists this ribosomal RNA (253 nucleotides) under uncultured bacterium. Its description in RNAcentral is "partial 16S ribosomal RNA". It matches the Rfam family "Bacterial small subunit ribosomal RNA", at positions 524 to 776 of the family's 1533-position model. The record is from RNAcentral.